RNAcentral lists this ribosomal RNA (429 nucleotides) under Bacteroidota bacterium. RNAcentral describes it as "Bacteroidetes bacterium partial 16S ribosomal RNA". It matches the Rfam family "Bacterial small subunit ribosomal RNA", at positions 355 to 776 of the family's 1533-position model. Lineage: Bacteria; Pseudomonadati; Bacteroidota. The record is from RNAcentral.
UAGGGAAUCUUCCGCAAUGGACGCAAGUCUGACGGAGCAACGCCGCGUGAGUGAAGAAGGAUUUCGGUUCGUAAAACUCUGUUGUUAGAGAAGAACAGCGCAUAGAGUAACUGUUAUGCGUGUGACGGUAUCUAACCAGAAAGCCACGGCUAACUACGUGCCAGCAGCCGCGGUAAUACGUAGGUGGCAAGCGUUGUCCGGAUUUAUUGGGCGUAAAGCGAGCGCAGGCGGUCAAUUAAGUCUGAUGUGAAAGCCCCCGGCUCAACCGGGGAGGGUCAGUGGAAACUGGUUGACUUGAGUGCAGAAGAGUAGAGUGGAAUUCCAUGUGUAGCGGUGAAAUGCGUAGAUAUAUGGAGGAACACCAGUGGCGAAGGCGACUGUCUGGUCUGUAACUGACGCUGAGGUUCGAAAGCGUGGGUAGCAAACAGG